AUUGCUUUGGCAGAUAAGUGCAAUAAAUUUAGAAUUUAUUAAUGUAGUUGAUAUUACAAGUAAUA
This 65-nucleotide transfer RNA is filed under the name Galiblatta cribrosa. RNAcentral describes it as "tRNA-Leu". Lineage: Eukaryota; Metazoa; Arthropoda; Insecta; Blattodea; Blaberidae. The record is from RNAcentral.